Molecule: transfer RNA, 75 nt
Filed under: Candidatus Magasanikbacteria bacterium RIFCSPHIGHO2_02_FULL_44_13
Lineage: Bacteria; Candidatus Magasanikiibacteriota
Also listed under: 3 other names
Description: tRNA-Asn
Rfam family: tRNA
About the family: Transfer RNA (tRNA) molecules are approximately 80 nucleotides in length. Their secondary structure includes four short double-helical elements and three loops (D, anti-codon, and T loops).
Source: RNAcentral
UCGGGAGUAGCUCAGUGGUAGAGCAGCACGCUGUUAACGUGAUGGUCGUGGGUCCGAUCCCCACCUCCCGAGCGA